RNAcentral lists this ribosomal RNA (475 nucleotides) under Streptomyces sp. RNAcentral's name for it is "bacterial SSU rRNA". It matches the Rfam family "Bacterial small subunit ribosomal RNA", at positions 153 to 642 of the family's 1533-position model. Lineage: Bacteria; Bacillati; Actinomycetota; Actinomycetes; Kitasatosporales; Streptomycetaceae. The record is from RNAcentral.
GAAACGGGGUCUAAUACCGGAUACGAGUCCGGGAGGCAUCUCCCGGGCUGGAAAGCUCCGGCGGUGAAGGAUGAGCCCGCGGCCUAUCAGCUUGUUGGUGGGGUAAUGGCCUACCAAGGCGACGACGGGUAGCCGGCCUGAGAGGGCGACCGGCCACACUGGGACUGAGACACGGCCCAGACUCCUACGGGAGGCAGCAGUGGGGAAUAUUGCACAAUGGGCGAAAGCCUGAUGCAGCGACGCCGCGUGAGGGAUGACGGCCUUCGGGUUGUAAACCUCUUUCAGCAGGGAAGAAGCGCGAGUGACGGUACCUGCAGAAGAAGCGCCGGCUAACUACGUGCCAGCAGCCGCGGUAAUACGUAGGGCGCAAGCGUUGUCCGGAAUUAUUGGGCGUAAAGAGCUCGUAGGCGGCUUGUCACGUCGGGUGUGAAAGCCCGGGGCUUAACCCCGGGUCUGCAUCCGAUACGGGCAGGCU